AGUGAACGCUAGCGGGAGGCCUAACACAUGCAAGCCGAGCGGUAGAGUUCCUUCGGGAACUUGAGAGCGGCGUACGGGUGCGUAACACGUGUGCAACCUACCUUUAUCUGGGGGAUAGCCUUUCGAAAGGAAGAUUAAUACCCCAUAAUAUAUUGAAUGGCAUCAUUUAAUAUUGAAAACUCUGGUGGAUAGAGAUGGGCACGCGCAAGAUUAGAUAGUUGGUGAGGUAACGGCUCACCAAGUCUGUGAUCUUUAGGGGUCCUGAGAGGGAGAUCCCCCACACUGGUACUGAGACACGGACCAGACUCCUACGGGAGGCAGCAGUGAGGAAUAUUGGACAAUGGGUGAGAGCCUGAUCCAGCCAUCCCGCGUGAAGGAUGACGGUCCUAUGGAUUGUAAACUUCUUUUGUACAGGAAUAAACCUAUUUACGUGUAAAUAGCUGACGGUACUGUACGAAUAAGCACCGGCUAACUCCGUGCCAGCCGCCGCCGUAA
This 495-nucleotide ribosomal RNA is filed under the name uncultured bacterium. RNAcentral describes it as "partial 16S ribosomal RNA". It matches the Rfam family "Bacterial small subunit ribosomal RNA", at positions 29 to 523 of the family's 1533-position model. The record is from RNAcentral.